RNAcentral lists this small RNA (573 nucleotides) under Pan troglodytes (chimpanzee). Its description in RNAcentral is "processed transcript". Lineage: Eukaryota; Metazoa; Chordata; Mammalia; Primates; Hominidae. The record is from RNAcentral.
GAGUGUGAACCUUCGCUUGGGGCAGGAGGUAGCUUCGGAAAGGAAGGAGCAGACGGAGGCCAGAAGCUGGAUCUGGCAGCUGCGGCAGCACACACCUUCUUUGUAGCAAACCCCAUGCACCUGCAGAUGCGGGAGGACAUGGCUAAGUACAGACGAAUGUCGGGAGUUCGGCCCCAGAGCUUCCGGGACCUGGAGACGCCCCCACACUGGGCAGCCUAUGACACUGGCCUGGAGCUGCUGGGGCGCCAGGAGGCAAGACUGGCACUGCCCAGGCUAGAGGAGGCUCUUCAGGGGAGCCUGGCCCAGAUGGAGAGCUGCCGUGCUGACUGCGAGGGGCCUGAGGAGCAGCAGGGGGCUGAACAAGAGGAGGAUGGGGCUGCGAGCCAGGGGGGCCUCUAUGAGGCCAUUGCAGGACACUGGAUUCAGGUCCUGCAGUGCCGGCAACGCUGUGUGGGGGAAACAGCCACACGCCCUGGUCGCAGCUUCCCUGUCCCAGACUUCCUUCCCAACCAGCUGAGGCGGCUACAUGAGGCCCAUGCUCAGGUGGGCAAUCUGUCCCAGGCUAUAGAAAAU